UACUGGAAGAAUUAUGUUGAGCUAAAAACUCUUCGGGCCCUGUGUCAGCACCCAGGUUUUAACUUAGGUUCUGAACAUUGGUCUUCAAGCUUGUGCAGCAAGCACCUUACCCACCAAGCUGUCUCUCCAGACCCCAGGAAGUUUAGUCAAGCUAUGCAUGAGGUCCUGAGUUUUGAAAAAUCCAUCAGAACUUGACAAGAGCCUGCCAUGGCUUUCAUCUGAGAGCCUCUACCAGCAGCUGACUGAAACAG
Mastomys coucha (southern multimammate mouse) is the source of this 251-nucleotide long non-coding RNA. RefSeq lists it as uncharacterized. Lineage: Eukaryota; Metazoa; Chordata; Mammalia; Rodentia; Muridae. The transcript has 3 exons. The record is from RefSeq and is a predicted model, not a curated record.